CCCCUUACCGGGCCAUCCCAUACAAACAUGGAAAAGACCUGCUAAUAUGCGUAAUAAGAGAGCCAAGACUCUCUCCGUACACAUGUGUAACUCGGAUCGAACUAACACCGAAUAACAACGGCCCCAAGUAAAGAGGGUUGUGAACAGCACUAAAACUAGCAAGAAAAGACUUCACACUAUACCGUUAACCCUACACAGGUGUGUUGCCACGGAAAGACUAAAAGAGAAAGAAGGAACUCGGCAAACUAAUAAGCCUCGCCUGUUUACCAAAAACAUCGCCUCUUGCAAAAUUAACGAAUAAGAGGUCCCGCCUGCCCUGUGACUAUAUGUUUAACGGCCGCGGUAUUUUAACCGCGCGAAGGUAGCGCAAUCACUUGUCUUUUAAAUGAAGACCUGUAUGAAAGGCUAGACGAGGGCUUAACUGUCUCCUUUCUCAUGUCAAUGAGAUUGAUCUCCCCGUGCAGAAGCGGGGAUAAUACCAUAAGACGAGAAGACCCUAUGGAGCUUCAGACACCAAAGAAGACCAUGUUCCCAACCCUCCGAUAAGAGACCAAACUAGUGGUUGCCUUCCCUAAUGUCUUUGGUUGGGGCGACCGCGGAGAACUACAAAACCCCCGCGUGGAAUGGGCACACCGUUCCUUAAAUUAAGAGCCACAGCUCUAACUAACAGUAAUUCUGACCACCCAGAUCCGGCAAAGCCGAUCAACGGACCUAGUUACCCUAGGGAUAACAGCGCAAUCCUCUUUUAGAGUCCAUAUCGACAAGGGGGUUUACGACCUCGAUGUUGGAUCAGGACAUCCUAAUGGUGCAGCCGCUAUUAAGGGUCCGUUUGUUCAACGGUUAAAGUCCUACGUGAUCUGAGUUCAGACCGGA
Molecule: ribosomal RNA, 873 nt
Filed under: Scorpaena scrofa (red scorpionfish)
Lineage: Eukaryota; Metazoa; Chordata; Actinopteri; Perciformes; Scorpaenidae
Also listed under: 1 other name
Description: partial 16S ribosomal RNA
Rfam family: Bacterial large subunit ribosomal RNA
Source: RNAcentral